This 445-nucleotide ribosomal RNA is filed under the name uncultured bacterium. RNAcentral's name for it is "partial 16S ribosomal RNA". It matches the Rfam family "Bacterial small subunit ribosomal RNA", at positions 354 to 796 of the family's 1533-position model. The record is from RNAcentral.
GUGAGGAAUAUUGGACAAUGGGCGCAAGCCUGAUCCAGCCAUGCCGCGUGCAGGAAGACGCAUCUAUGGUGUGUAAACUGCUUUUGUACGGGAAGAAACACUCCCUCGUGAGGGAGCUUGACGGUACCGUAAGAAUAAGGAUCGGCUAACUCCGUGCCAGCAGCCGCGGUAAUACGGAGGACCCAAGCGUUAUCCGGCAUCAUUGGGUUGAAAGGGUCCGUAGGCGGUUUAAUAAGUCAGUGGUGAAAGACCAUCGCUCAACGAUGGAACGGCCAUUGAUACUGUUAGACUUGAAUUACAAGGAAGUAACUAGAAUAUGUAGUGUAGCGGUGAAAUGCUUAGAUAUUACAUGGAAUACCAAUUGCGAAGGCAGGUUACUACUUGUGGAUUGACGCUGAUGGACGAAAGCGUGGGGAGCGAACAGGAUUAGAAACCCUGGUAGUCC